AGAGUUUGAUCCUGGCUCAGGAUGAACGCUAGCGGCAGGCUUAACACAUGCAAGUCGAGGGGCAGCGGGGAGGAAGCUUGCUUUCUCCGCCGGCGACCGGCGCACGGGUGAGUAACACGUAUGGAACCUGCCCGCAGCAGGGGGAUAAGCGGAAGAAAUUCCGUCUAAUACCGCGUAACAACGUUGGGAGGCAUCUCCCGAUGUUUAAAGAUUUAUCGGCUGCGGAUGGCCAUGCGGCGCAUUAGCUAGUCGGCGGGGUAACGGCCCACCGAGGCGACGAUGCGUAGGGGUUCUGAGAGGAAGGUCCCCCACACUGGUACUGAGACACGGACCAGACUCCUACGGGAGGCAGCAGUGAGGAAUAUUGGUCAAUGGCCGAAAGGCUGAACCAGCCAAGUCGCGUGAGGGAAGACGGCCCUACGGGUUGUAAACCUCUUUUGUCGGGGAGCAAAGAGAGCCACGUGUGGCUCAUUGAGAGUACCCGAAGAAAAAGCAUCGGCUAACUCCGUGCCAGCAGCCGCGGUAAUACGGAGGAUGCGAGCGUUAUCCGGAUUUAUUGGGUUUAAAGGGUGCGCAGGCGGAGGUGCAAGUCAGCGGUCAAAUUGCGGGGCUCAACCCCGUACUGCCGUUGAAACUGCAUCCCUUGAGUGCGCGAGAAGUAUGCGGAAUGCGUGGUGUAGCGGUGAAAUGCAUAGAUAUCGCGCAGAACUCCGAUUGCGAAGGCAGCAUGCCGGCUCCACACUGACGCUGAGGCACGAAAGCGUGGGUAUCGAACAGGAUUAGAUACCCUGGUAGUCCACGCAGUAAACGAUGAAUGCUGGCUGUCCGGGGGGAUUGACCCCUGGGUGGCGAAGCGAAAGCGAUAAGCAUUCCACCUGGGGAGUACGCCGGCAACGGUGAAACUCAAAGGAAUUGACGGGGGCCCGCACAAGCGGAGGAACAUGUGGUUUAAUUCGAUGAUACGCGAGGAACCUUACCCGGGCUCAAACGGGGAGUGACUCAGGCAGAGACGCCUGUUUCCCACGGGACACUCCCCGAGGUGCUGCAUGGUUGUCGUCAGCUCGUGCCGUGAGGUGUCGGCUUAAGUGCCAUAACGAGCGCAACCCCCGCGUGCAGUUGCUAACAGAUAACGCUGAGGACUCUGCACGGACUGCCGGCGCAAGCCGCGAGGAAGGCGGGGAUGACGUCAAAUCAGCACGGCCCUUACGUCCGGGGCGACACACGUGUUACAAUGGGUGGUACAGCGGGAAGCCAGGCGGCGACGCCGAGCGGAACCCGAAAUCCACUCUCAGUUCGGAUCGGAGUCUGCAACCCGACUCCGUGAAGCUGGAUUCGCUAGUAAUCGCGCAUCAGCCAUGGCGCGGUGAAUACGUUCCCGGGCCUUGCACACACCGCCCGUCA
RNAcentral lists this ribosomal RNA (1401 nucleotides) under uncultured bacterium. Its description in RNAcentral is "16S ribosomal RNA". It matches the Rfam family "Bacterial small subunit ribosomal RNA". The record is from RNAcentral.